Molecule: ribosomal RNA, 493 nt
Filed under: uncultured bacterium
Lineage: Bacteria
Description: partial 16S ribosomal RNA
Rfam family: Bacterial small subunit ribosomal RNA
Source: RNAcentral
AGUGAACGCUGGCGGUAGGCCUAACACAUGCAAGUCGAACGGCAGCACAGUAAGAGCUUGCUCUUACGGGUGGCGAGUGGCGGACGGGUGAGGAAUACAUCGGAAUCUACUUUUUCGUGGGGGAUAACGUAGGGAAACUUACGCUAAUACCGCAUACGACCUACGGGUGAAAGCAGGGGAUCUUCGGACCUUGCGCGAUUGAAUGAGCCGAUGUCGGAUUAGCUAGUUGGCGGGGUAAAGGCCCACCAAGGCGACGAUCCGUAGCUGGUCUGAGAGGAUGAUCAGCCACACUGGAACUAAGACACGGUCCAGACUCCUACGGGAGGCAGCAGUGGGGAAUAUUGGACAAUGGGCGCAAGCCUGAUCCAGCCAUACCGCGGGGGUGAAGAAGGCCGUCGGGUUGUAAAGCCCUUUUGUUGGGAAAGAAAAGCAGCAGGUUAAUACCCCGCUGUUCUGACGGUACCCAAAGAAUAAGCACCGGCUAACUUCGUGC